RNAcentral lists this ribosomal RNA (447 nucleotides) under Ferrimonas sediminicola. RNAcentral describes it as "Ferrimonas sp. IMCC35001 partial 23S ribosomal RNA". It matches the Rfam family "Bacterial large subunit ribosomal RNA", at positions 1 to 491 of the family's 2925-position model. Lineage: Bacteria; Pseudomonadati; Pseudomonadota; Gammaproteobacteria; Alteromonadales; Ferrimonadaceae. The record is from RNAcentral.
GUUGUAUGGUUAAGCGACUAAGCGUACACGGUGGAUGCCUUGGCAGUCAGAGGCGAUGAAGGACGUACUAACUUGCGAUAAGCGGUGAUAAGGCAGUAAGAGCCAUUUGAGUCACCGAUUUCCGAAUGGGGAAACCCGGCCGCAUAAGCGGUCACUGUGCACUGAAUACAUAGGUGUACAGAGCGAACCAGGGGAACUGAAACAUCUAAGUACCCUGAGGAAAAGAAAUCAAUUGAGAUUCCCUAAGUAGCGGCGAGCGAACGGGGAUUAGCCCUUAAGCACAGAGGGUGUUAGUGGAAGCUUCUGGAAAGUAGCGCGAUACAGGGUGAUAGCCCCGUACACGAAAACUAACUUUGUGUGAAAUCGAGUAGGACGGGACACGUGAUAUCUUGUCUGAACAUGGGGGGACCAUCCUCCAAGGCUAAAUACUCCUGACUGACCGAUAGU